ACUUGCUCCUGUGAGAUAAGCUAACUAAAUUGAUAGAUCAAAAUAUCGAUAUUGUUAGAAAAUGUAGGACAGGAACUGUUAAUUGGAAACUGAUGACUGUCUUUCGUCGUAGAAGCUAAAAUAAUGCCUUUAAUUUUAUACAUAGUCCACAAAGUAUAUCCGGGCCAACGUACUAACAUAUGAUAAAUGCUCAAAACUUUCGAUCUAAAAAAACCAAACUGUGCAUGUAACCAGUAUCCAUUUUAUUUCCCUCAAAAGCGACUGAUUAAUUCCAGUCUAUUUUAUUUUUCAAAUUUCGAAAUAUAUCCUUAAUAAUUGACAUUGGACAAGCAAACGUUUUUCUACAAAAAAAGGAACUUAACUCGAGAGUAGUGCACAUGGGACUAUAUUAUGAACGACUCGCUUUGGGUGAACUAACAGUGCAAAAUAAGACUUCCAAUAUUGGAAGCAGACACGAUCGACCAUUAACGAAUACCAUUAUAAUCUAAGGAAGACGUUCACGUUUCUUUGGUUAAGCUCGUUUGGAAGUCAAUCUGUCCUAAAGUAGUAACUCUAUGGAACUCUCUCGGCGUGCAACAAAAUAAGAGCUAUUUCCAGGAAUACUCGAAAGAGUCAUUUGGACACCUUAAUAUCUUUCGACGCCACUGGCGUCUAUGGCGAACGCCGCAGGCGGAAGCUUAUACGGGGAGGGGAGGAAGGCCAUGCCUCCACGUUUCCGAUUUUAUCCUCUCAAACGCCACAUAAAUCCAGCAUUUCCGACACAUUUAUGAAAAGUGUUUGUGAAGGCGUGAUAUAAAAUCUGGGGGUUACCUCACUUCUCGACCAGGAAAACAAAAAUAACUAGGGGGUCGCGAAAUGUAUAGUAUAUAUUAUAUAGUAUAUAAUAUUUACCUGACAUGUCAAUCCGCCAAGUUAGUGGAAGUGAAACAACGACGUACCAAACAAUUUUAUCUAUUAUUGUUCUGAAGAGUUGAGAGGGGUUGGGGUUACAAGCCUCUUAACCUCUCCCCUAGAUCUGCCCCUGAUUUCCAACACAAAAUGUUUUAAAAAGGCAAUAUAAAAGCCAUAACAUUAGAACUAACUCCUUGUAAAAAGUUUUCGAAAAUUAACUAAGUUUGUUGUUGUUGUUUGUUAAAUAAGUAGCUUUUUGCUUCUCUAAAACAGCAAUCCUGGAAUUUUUCUCUUGCACAUGUUGGCCUUCAUUACCAAAAGCGGACAUUACUCAAAUGUGAUUCAUACAUUGAAAAUUUUAUUAUCCAGCAAUCGAUACAAUUCGGGAUGAACUGAUUCGCUUCUAGCUAAUCAAACAGCGAGUAUUUGCUGUAGCAGUACUAUUAGGUAGUCAGAAAUUUCAAUUAAUUUAGAAUGGUUAUUAGUUAGGGAUUGUAUUUUUGCUAUUACAUACAUGAAUACGUAUCCUCCGCUGUAGUUGUAUUCCUCUUUCAAUAAGUCCUAUCACAAACUGGUAUUCUUGUACAACUGACGAUGGAUGAUGUUUCAUCUGACACGUGUAUUUAAAUAUAAGAUAUGGACUUAAAAUGCAUCUUGGGGCCUGUGAAAGAAUUAUCGCAUUUUGUACUGAUAGAUUAAUAUUAUCAUGUUGAGGUUUCUUUUUUUCCUUUUCCUUUUUGUUUUGUUUUGUUUUUUUUUUGUAUUUCAGAGUUUGAGAACGACUCGACGAGAUAUGAGCGAAGUCCAGGUUGCAGUGAUCAGUGGGACUACUCAACUUGCACGAAUUACUACAAUCAAAGGUUAUGUGGCUACGGUUUCAUCAGUUCAAUGUGCCGACGUACAUGUGGGUCAUGUUAGUUUGAGAACAAUCUUGUACAUCGUAACAGUGCUUAUAACUCAUGGACUGCGUUUGUGUUAGUUCGCUUGAAACCUGACAUAAUUGAUGUUUUGUCGUGAAAAGUGCAUAGAGAAAAUAAAUGGAGCGCAAAUUAAUGAACAUGAUUGAGACUCUUUGUUUCCCCCUAUCUCAGCGUUUUUUUUUCUCUGUCUUUUAUAAAUCAUAAAUAUUUUAAAAGCGUUAAUGCCAUGUAAGUUUCGUCCGACUUUUUAGCGCCAUGUUUUUCCACAUUAAGGUAAAAAUAUUUGUACUCAUUUGCUGUCUAAUGAGAAUGUAGACCCUUAAGGGCCCAUUAACCGAUUUUUGCGCGCGCUCUCGUGCGUUGCUAAGGAGGUAAAAUUUCAC
This 2194-nucleotide long non-coding RNA is filed under the name Orbicella faveolata. Its description in RNAcentral is "uncharacterized LOC110046912". The record is from RNAcentral. Lineage: Eukaryota; Metazoa; Cnidaria; Anthozoa; Scleractinia; Merulinidae.